AGUGAACGCUGGCGGUAGGCCUAACACAUGCAAGUCGAACGGCAGCACAGUAAGAGCUUGCUCUUACGGGUGGCGAGUGGCGGACGGGUGAGGAAUACAGCGGAAUCUACUUUUUCGGGGGGGAUAACGUAGGGAAACUUACGCUAAUACCGCAUACGACCUACGGGUGAAAGCAGGGGAUCUUCGGACCUUGCGCGAUUGAAUGAGCCGAUGUCGGAUUAGCUAGUUGGCGGGGUAAAGGCCCACCAAGGCGACGAUCCGUAGCUGGUCUGAGAGGAUGAUCAGCCACACUGGAACUGAGACACGCUCCAGACUCCUACGGGAGGCAGCAGUGGGGAAUAUUGGACAAUGGGCGCAAGCCUGAUCCAGCCAUACCGCGUGGGUGAAGAAGGCCUUCGGGUUGUAAAGCCCUUUUGUUGGGAAAGAAAAGCAGCAGGUUAAUACCCCGCUGUUCUGACGGUACCCAAAGAAUAAGCACCGGCUAACUUCGUG
This 492-nucleotide ribosomal RNA is filed under the name uncultured bacterium. RNAcentral's name for it is "partial 16S ribosomal RNA". It matches the Rfam family "Bacterial small subunit ribosomal RNA", at positions 29 to 507 of the family's 1533-position model. The record is from RNAcentral.